Massospora cicadina is the source of this 84-nucleotide non-coding RNA. NCBI's taxonomy places the organism in Eukaryota, Fungi, Entomophthoromycota, Entomophthoromycetes, Entomophthorales, Entomophthoraceae. The record is from the annotation of a GenBank genome assembly.
GUUUUAAAAAAAAAUUGUGGUGUAGUUGGUUAUCACAUCUAUCUAACACACAGAAGGUCUCCAGUUUGAAUCUGGACAAAGGCA